UCAAGUGAAGAAGCGCAUACGGUGGAUGCCUUGGCAGUCAGAGGCGAUGAAAGACGUGGUAGCCUGCGAAAAGCUUCGGGGAGUCGGCAAACAGACUUUGAUCCGGAGAUGUCUGAAUGGGGGAACCCAACCAUCAUAAGAUGGUUACCUUACACUGAAUACAUAGGUGUAUGGAGCGAACCAGGGGAACUGAAACAUCUAAGUACCCUGAGGAAAAGAAAUCAACCGAGAUUCCCUUAGUAGUGGCGAGCGAACGGGGACUAGCCCUUAAGUGGCUUUGAGAUUAGCGGAACGCUCUGGAAAGUGCGGCCAUAGUGGGUGAUAGCCCUGUACGCGAAAAUCUCUUAGUCAUGAAAUCGAGUAGGACGGAGCACGAGAAACUUUGUCUGAAUAUGGGGGGACCAUCCUCCAAGGCUAAAUACUACUGACUGACCGAUAGUGAACUAGUACCGUGAGGGAAAGGCGAAAAGAACCCCGGAGAGGGGAGUGAAAUAGAUCCUGAAACCGUAUGCGUACAAGCAGUGGGAGCCCACUUUGUUGGGUGACUGCGUACCUUUUGUAUAAUGGGUCAGCGACUUAUUUUCAGUGGCGAGCUUAACCGAAUAGGGGAGGCGUAGCGAAAGCGAGUCUUAAUAGGGCGUCUAGUCGCUGGGAAUAGACCCGAAACCGGGCGAUCUAUCCAUGGGCAGGUUGAAGGUUGGGUAACACUAACUGGAGGACCGAACCGACUACCGUUGAAAAGUUAGCGGAUGACCUGUGGAUCGGAGUGAAAGGCUAAUCAAGCUCGGAGAUAGCUGGUUCUCCUCGAAAGCUAUUUAGGUAGCGCCUCAUGUAUCACUGUAGGGGGUAGAGCACUGUUUCGGCUAGGGGGUCAUCCCGACUUACCAAACCGAUGCAAACUCCGAAUACCUACAAGUGCCGAGCAUGGGAGACACACGGCGGGUGCUAACGUCCGUCGUGAAAAGGGAAACAACCCAGACCGUCAGCUAAGGUCCCAAAGUUAUGGUUAAGUGGGAAACGAUGUGGGAAGGCUUAGACAGCUAGGAGGUUGGCUUAGAAGCAGCCACCCUUUAAAGAAAGCGUAAUAGCUCACUAGUCGAGUCGGCCUGCGCGGAAGAUGUAACGGGGCUCAAACCAUACACCGAAGCUACGGGUAUCACGUAAGUGAUGCGGUAGAGGAGCGUUCUGUAAGCCUGUGAAGGUGAGUUGAGAAGCUUGCUGGAGGUAUCAGAAGUGCGAAUGCUGACAUGAGUAACGACAAUGGGUGUGAAAAACACCCACGCCGAAAGACCAAGGUUUCCUGCGCAACGUUAAUCGACGCAGGGUUAGUCGGUCCCUAAGGCGAGGCUGAAAAGCGUAGUCGAUGGAAAACAGGUUAAUAUUCCUGUACUUCUGGUUAUUGCGAUGGAGGGACGGAGAAGGCUAGGCCAGCUUGGCGUUGGUUGUCCAAGUUUAAGGUGGUAGGCUGGAAUCUUAGGUAAAUCCGGGAUUCUAAGGCCGAGAGCUGAUGACGAGUCGUCUUUUAGACGACGAAGUGGUUGAUGCCAUGCUUCCAAGAAAAGCUUCUAAGCUUCAGGUAACCAGGAACCGUACCCCAAACCGACACAGGUGGUUGGGUAGAGAAUACCAAGGCGCUUGAGAGAACUCGGGUGAAGGAACUAGGCAAAAUGGCACCGUAACUUCGGGAGAAGGUGCGCCGGUGAGGGUGAAGGACUUGCUCCGUAAGCUCAUGCCGGUCGAAGAUACCAGGCCGCUGCGACUGUUUAUUAAAAACACAGCACUCUGCAAACACGAAAGUGGACGUAUAGGGUGUGACGCCUGCCCGGUGCCGGAAGGUUAAUUGAUGGGGUUAGCUAACGCGAAGCUCUUGAUCGAAGCCCCGGUAAACGGCGGCCGUAACUAUAACGGUCCUAAGGUAGCGAAAUUCCUUGUCGGGUAAGUUCCGACCUGCACGAAUGG
Molecule: ribosomal RNA, 1959 nt
Filed under: Eurytoma brunniventris
Lineage: Eukaryota; Metazoa; Arthropoda; Insecta; Hymenoptera; Eurytomidae
Description: bacterial LSU rRNA
Rfam family: Bacterial large subunit ribosomal RNA
Source: RNAcentral